UACGUAGGGUGCGGGCGUUAAUCGGAAUUACUGGGCGUAAAGCGUGCGCAGGCGGUCUGUUAAGACAGAUGUGAAAUCCCCGGGCUUAACCUGGGAACUGCAUUUGUGACUGGCAGGCUAGAGUAUGGCAGAGGGGGGUAGAAUUCCACGUGUAGCAGUGAAAUGCGUAGAGAUGUGGAGGAAUACCGAUGGCGAAGGCAGCCCCCUGGGCCAAUACUGACGCUCAUGCACGAAAGCGUGGGGAGCAAACAGG
RNAcentral lists this ribosomal RNA (253 nucleotides) under uncultured bacterium. RNAcentral's name for it is "partial 16S ribosomal RNA". It matches the Rfam family "Bacterial small subunit ribosomal RNA", at positions 524 to 776 of the family's 1533-position model. The record is from RNAcentral.